AGCGGUGCGGGGCUGGGACCCCCCCCCUUAACUCCAGCAGGGGGGACGAGGUUUGAGCCCCCCCCGCUUUAAUUUUUGCCCUCUCUCCAGGCUAAAUUCCGGAGUGUGAGGAUUGUGAGCGCGGCCACGCUGGGGGUGCCGGGGGGCAGCGCGCUGGUGCUGGGGGAGGCGGCGCGGCGGAGGGAGACGGUGCUGGAGAUCAUCCAGGCCAAGCGGGUGCCCAUCUCCCUGUGGAUCCUGGUGGGCAGCAUCCUGGGGGGGCUGCUGCUGCUGGCGCUCAUCAUCUUCUGCCUGUGGAGGCUCGGCUUCUUCACCCGCAAGAAGCUCCCGGAGGAGGAGGAGAAGGAGGAGAAGGAGGGGCAGUGAGCCCCGGCGGCCCCCGCGCGCUUCCCGGCUCUCUCCAGCCCCCGCUGCCCCCCGAGCCCGGCACCUGGGAACAACGGGGGGGGGCUCGGGGGACUCUGCCCCCCACCCCAGUUUUGGUUCCACCGUGGCCGAGGGCGCUGCCGGUGCCGGGUUGUGCUGGCGCGGACGCAGCCAGGUGAGGUUGGGGCCGGUGCCGCGGCACAGGAGCUGCGGGGCUGGGCCCGGAGGAGACGGGGACGGAGGUGGGGGGGCGAGCACCCAGCGAAUUGGGCCCCCCCCAAAUAAAGUUCAGCCCCGUGGAGGUGCUCACCCGUGUGUGACCUGCCAGCGCUCUGCCCUGCCUCGGGGAGGGGGUGGGGGGGGGGUAAGAAAGGGGAGCCCCAAAAGGCUCUGAGGUGUGAAGGGGAGGGGGAGCCCCUGUGCGCCCCCCCCCGUGCCCAAAAUCCCCCCUCUGAGGUCUCUCGGCGCUGCCCUGGGGUUCCCGGGAUGGCCGAGGGAGGGAAUCCUCCACUUGGGGCCCUCUCCAAGCCUUGGGGGUGCAGGAGGGGACCCAGAGCUGACCCCAAAGGGGUCACCGGGGGGGGGGUUGUGGCACCCCAAAAGCUCCCCCUGCCCGCACAGGGCUCUUCGGGGGGGCACAAAAUGGUAAAGAACGGGGAAAAAGCAACGGGAUAAAGCCGGGAGGGGAAAUGUUCAGCCCGGGUGCUUUUUCCCUUCUUUUUCCUCCCAACGAGGAGCCUGCUGCAGAGUGGGGACGGGCCUGGCCCUAAAAACACAAGGAGCAGGGGGAGAGGUGCAGGGGGUGGGGGGGGUCUCCUUCCCCUAAACCCCAAUGCAAGGGGGGGGACCCUGGGGGCACCAAGUCAGGGGGUUCCUGAUACCCUCAGCCCCAUGCAGCCCUUGGGGACAAGGUGGGUGCCUCAUCAAGGCCACCCUCCCCCAGCCAUGCUGCUGCCACCCCAAACCUGACGCCCCAAAAACCCAUCUGCCCCCCAAAAAAACCCUUUUCUGGACACCCCCCCGAGCUCACUUCCCUCCCCGUGACUCCUCCGCCCCCCAAAAACCUGCUCAAGCUUCUGCUCUUCUUUAGAAAGGCCUUUAUUUGACUUCACAGAAUCACAGAAUCUCUAGGUUGGAAGAGACCUCAAGAUCAUCGAGUCCAACCUCUGACCUAACACUAACAGUCCCCACUAAACCAUAUCCCUAAGUUCUACAUCUAAACGUCUUUUGAAGACUUCCAGGGAUGGUGACUCAACCAC
RNAcentral lists this long non-coding RNA (1625 nucleotides) under Anas platyrhynchos platyrhynchos (common mallard). Its description in RNAcentral is "lncRNA (ENSAPLG00000022472.1)". The record is from RNAcentral. Lineage: Eukaryota; Metazoa; Chordata; Aves; Anseriformes; Anatidae.